AUCCAACUGACAAGUCCCAUCCAAAUAGGACGAAACGCGCGUCCUAUAC
Non-coding RNA from Schistosoma margrebowiei, 49 nucleotides. NCBI's taxonomy places the organism in Eukaryota, Metazoa, Platyhelminthes, Trematoda, Strigeidida, Schistosomatidae. The record is from Rfam.